RNAcentral lists this non-coding RNA (28 nucleotides) under Mus musculus (house mouse). The record is from RNAcentral. Lineage: Eukaryota; Metazoa; Chordata; Mammalia; Rodentia; Muridae.
UACCACAAUCCUACAGAGAUGGUGAUGA